AUCCAUUUCAUUCUUAAAAUUGGACCCAAUGAUGUAAUGGAUAGGGAACCAUCAACUUCAAAAUGACUUGGGCCACAUUCAGCAACAGGCCCAAUUUCAAAAACACACUGCAGCUAUAAAGCAGGGAAUUCAAGAUUGAGUCCCUGCAGUAGCAUUCGAGAUCAGCCUUGACUGAAGGGAAAUCGACAUUAAGUCCAAUCAACUACCAGUAAUAUAAGUCAAUGCUAAACCUUCGGGCUUGGUCCUGAAUGAGCUCAUGUUUUGAUGAAGGAAGGAGGGCCCAAAAGAAUCACCAUAUGUCGACUUUGGCAGGUAAUUUACGAUGAGACAAUGAACAAUCUCCCAAUCAAUUUCCAAAUUAUAAGAUAAGAAAACAAAUUGAUGAAGCCAUAAAUAAUACUAUAGUCUGUAAAUGAAGAUGAUUUGAAAUCUACUCCAAAGUCUCACGCCUAACUUUCAAUUUAUCAAUUCAUGAAAAGUUCAUUCAAGCAUUCCUAACUAUCAUGUCAAAAAUUAAUCACACCUUAUUUCAGAUCUCCCCUCCCUUUCAAGUUUUAAAAAGAAAGCAAAAGGCAAGCAUAGCGGUUACCUUCUUUAGAACAAAAAAGAAACCUAAGAAAAUUUGAAGACAAAUGACUGCUCACUUCUACAUUUACAAACUCCACAUAGAAGAAGAGGAUUCAACAACCAACAUUUAACCUUUCAACGAGUUCAAGUAAAUAAGAGCUAGGACAUGAGUGAUUUCAAGAAUAACUGAACAAAUCUUCCAACCCAAAACAUUAGACUAAGGUUGUAUUACCAGAUUUUAACAGCUUCCUCACUCAACACACCCAAAAGAAUCAUAUGAUUCAGAUUUUUGAAGGAAAAUCAUGUGAGGAAUCAAGCUAACUUUGAGAGGUUAACCAGAGACGAACAAACAAGUUCAGAUUUCGUUUAAUACUCGGUUAGUUUUCCAAAGGCCCAAUACACUAUAGGAGCAUAACCAAUAGAAGAUUAAGAACUUUCAAAACUAGGUUAUAAACCAUACAAAUGCAGACUUAACCUGACUAUUGCCUAACCAAAUUCAACAAAAAAACUUCAAGAUUUGGAACCAACAUACGUUUGGUCAUGCAGUUAUUCACCCCAAACCAAAACCCAGAAAACCUCAAGUUAACUACUACAAACCACAGUCUAUAAUUAAUACAAAUGGAAAUACUACUUGGAGGUCACUUUCAUACACAAAAUUUAAGAGAAAAUGAAAAGACCUAUUUAACAUCUAUAUUUAGGGUCCAAGAAACUACAGUCCGAUUAUUACAAGUAUUGAAACGAGUAAAUGUUCAUGACACUACAUGAGUUCAAACAUUUUAAACCGAAAACAUGAAUCAACAAUUCGAAUAAAACAAAAACAAAAAGAAGAGGAACACAUUCAACAGGUAAGGAGAUCUUCAUCUAUUUAUGAUACAUGAAUCAACUUUUACAUUUGGUAUCAAGGUGUGUACCUAAAUAUGGCGAAGCAAAAUCAAAAGUUGAGUUAAAGACUCAGAACGAAUCAGCAACAAUAGUAACAGCCGAUCAACAAUCAGUCCACAAUGGAAUAGUAUUCCAAUAAAUCAAAUAGCUCCAAACAAUCUCUCAACUUCCCAGAAUUAAACUAUUUUUCAAACCUAGAAUCAGGAAUUCUUUAAGAUCUAAAAUUUUUGACUAAUAACGAAAUUAAAGAGCAGAACUAGGACUAUUUAAGAUUAAAAAGCUGCAGGGAUUUUUUUGUAGUUUUAGGUAUCAGUCACUCCCGUUUUUAUGAAAGAAAGGUCUAUAUAUAUAGCCCUCUUUUGGUGCCCUUGGGCUGCAAGAAACAGAAUGCGAAUAAAUUCUCUCACAAGGCAUCUUUUUUAACAGAAAUGGGACAGCUGGCAGCCUGUUAUUGGCUCCAGCAACUUGUGCUAGCCAAAUAAGGCCAGCUGCCUCUAUGUUAGAAGUUUCCAUCACAUAAACUCAUCCAAAAGACCUUCUCUAUUUUCCAAGUUGGUCCCUAAGUUUUCAUCUAUUAAACUGAGAUCCUAGAAGUGUUUACCAAUUUCAAAACCUAACCAAACAAGAUAUGGCUAGCAGCUAUGAACAAAACCAAUCAAAUAGCAUAAAAUACUAGGCUUUUGCAAUCAAAUCAACAAAAAUUCAAUUUCCUGAUAAACUUCAAAAUUCAAUGUUAAAGGCUAAUGACGAACUUGACUCUAUGAGACGAACAAAAAAAGAUUAAUAGAAUACUAAAUAUUUACUCAACCAAAUCACAGAAACCCUAAAAUUCUUAUCAUGCAAUUAAGAGGGAAAAGAAACUGAACAGUAAGAUUAAAAAAAAUCAUACUAGACCUGACUUUCACAACUGUUCAAGCAUAUGCGGGUAUAUGAUAAACAAAUCUCCAUUACAUGACUAAAGAAAACAGAGCUAAACCAAACUCGGACAGGUAACCAUAAAAGAAAUCAGAAAAGAGAAAAACCAAAAAAAUUAACAUACUAACCAGAAGCCAAAGAGGACGGGGCGAGGUUCAGACUCACCAGAACACCUAACGACUGAGCUCAAACUCGAUCAAGGAGGCAGAGAAGCGGUUGACUGAAUAGAAGUUGGCUCUCAAAAAUGAACCAACAUAAAGGUGGUUUUGGACGGGAACUCUUGUUUGACACAAGUCUUGGGUCAUCUUGGUUUCUAAAAUGUAACGAAACAACUUUGGACGAACUAGGGUUCCCAAUUCAGAUCUAAAAUUUAAGGCACUAGAAAAGGUGUUUAGGGAUUUUAUCGAUGGAUUUGGGAAAAAGAGAGUGCAGGGGUUGCCUUGUACCAAUUUGAGGCGGUUUGGAGUGAUUAGGUUUUAGAGCCCGAUUUUGGAUCUAAAAUUUGAGCAGACUCAGAGAGAUUCAAGGGGAACUACUUUGGGGUUUAGAAAGAGGGAGGUGAGAAAAUUGUUUGGUGUUAAUUUGGGGAUGAGAGGAGGUGGUACUGCCACCUUGAGGCUGUGGAAACAGGGGGUGGCGGGCUAGGUUUUUUGGGUGUUCUCUGAGGGUGCAUUGUGAGAGAGACGCUUGAGAGGGGGGGUGAUAGGUUAGGGCACUUAAAUACUCCAACAAACCUCACU
This 3104-nucleotide long non-coding RNA is filed under the name Nicotiana benthamiana. RNAcentral's name for it is "long non-coding RNA (NBEN_LNC010383)". Lineage: Eukaryota; Viridiplantae; Streptophyta; Magnoliopsida; Solanales; Solanaceae. The record is from RNAcentral.